CCCUGAAGGUGAAGCAGGAAAUAGGUUCCAGGAUGAUUUUAGCACUAUGUUCUUGGCAAGGGCAAUUGGAGUCCGGGGAAUGGAGCAGUCUGCCUAGACAUGGGCAGCUGCAAAAGCUUCUUGGAUGAGUCCCUAGAGAGAACAGUAGCGUGACAGAUCUGAACCCACUCACCGAAACCCCCUGCCGGGUUGCAGCUGGCUCCCUGGUCCAGCAGAAGCCCUUCCUCACCAUCUGUGCAGCAUGAAACCAUCUCUCCCGCUUAACCAGGGAGACUUCCUGAGCCUGUCACUCAGCCUUCACUAUAACCUGCCACUAAUCGCAUUUACAACUUCUACUGUUUACAUGCUGGGAAUCAAGCACAAAGCUUUGCACAUCCUAGGCAAGUGUUCUGCUACUGAGCUACGUCCCCAGCGCUGACCACCUAUUUUUUUGUAUGCAAGAGAAGUAUAAAGCUCUGAAGAAAAUCCUCUUUGUGUCACAUCACUCCACAGGCCCUCGUUGUACACAG
Chinchilla lanigera (long-tailed chinchilla) is the source of this 509-nucleotide long non-coding RNA. RefSeq lists it as uncharacterized. The transcript has 3 exons. Lineage: Eukaryota; Metazoa; Chordata; Mammalia; Rodentia; Chinchillidae. The record is from RefSeq and is a predicted model, not a curated record.